RNAcentral lists this long non-coding RNA (1002 nucleotides) under Rattus norvegicus (Norway rat). RNAcentral's name for it is "long non-coding RNA NONRATT022029". The record is from RNAcentral. Lineage: Eukaryota; Metazoa; Chordata; Mammalia; Rodentia; Muridae.
GCGGCCGCAGCCUGGGCUCCCGCGGCGGCGGCGGAGGUCAGCGCCGACGGCAGCCCGCACCUGACGGCGUGACGGCCACAUUGACUCUUCGUGCACCGGGCCCAGUCUAUCAGAUCUUCUGCACUGUGUAUCUGCACAGUUGCUGAUAUGUGUUCAAGAUGAGUGGGAUGGGAGAAAAUACCUCUGACCCGUCCAGGGCAGAGACCAGAAAACGCAAGGAAUGUCCGGACCAGCUCGGACCCAGGUGAGCGUAUUGCUGGCCAGAGAACCGCCGUGUCUGUUAGGAGUCUGUGUACUUCUUUGUUGGUUUUGCACUGAUUUUACCCUCAGUGUAAAUAUUUGUUUGGCUUUUUUCUCUAAUUCAAUUUUUAUAUAUGUAACUGCUUAAAUUUUGGAUAUGUGGAUUAUUUACAGAAUUUAUUCUUUUUAAAAGGAAAUUCUCUCAUAUUUUCCUUUACUACCCUUGUGUCUUUUUACUUUUAUAAUCAGUUCAUUGCCAUAAUCUUUGAGUUUCCACAUUUUCUUUUAGGUCAGCGAACACUGUACAGGUACUUUUUUUUAUGGCAUGAAAUGUUCAAUCCAAUUGUUUUUUUACUUAAAAAUAAAUUGUGGUUCUUCAGUGGAUAAAACAAACAAUUUUAAAACAAGUUGGCAACAUCAUAAUGGCAGUUCUGCUCUCAGGAAUGGCCUCAUGGCAGUGUCUGUGUGUGCAGAAAUCCAGAGGUGUGAGCUUACUCAUUUGCAUUUUGCAUUCUUGCUUAGAUUCAUAAAAGGGCAGGAAAAUUUUGCAGAGAACAUUUUAAGAUGGUCUGUGGCCUGGAACACAGUGCAACUGUGACAAACAAUGAGGUUGAUAUUUUUAAAGGCCUCCUAAAAUACUGGGGCACAGAGCCAGUUGUGGUAGUGUACCCUGAAGUCUGAGGCAGGAGGAAUUUAAGACCAAGCUGGGCUGUAUAGGACUUAGAGACCAGCCUAGCCUACAUAUAUAAUUAGAUACUAUCC